GUUUCCAAAUACACGAUUUAUAAGCCCAGAGAUCUUUUAGAUCACUAGGCUGUAAUUUAAUGCACAUAAAAGGAAUGGUUUAAUAGCUAUCUUUGUCACCUCUAAAAUGUAGACACUAUAGUCUCUUCCGUUUUAUUUUCCACCAAAAGCAUAUAUUUAAAUGUUAAUUUAUUUUCUUUUCAUUUGUAGGACCCAACCACGUCACUCUCUGCUAAUUUCUUCUCAUUGCUGAGGCAAAAGACCAAAAUUUUACUUAUUUGUUAAAUUUAAAACACCUCUAUAAUACUAAUUGUGUAUUAGGCACUGUUCUAAGAACUUUACAAAUCUUAGCUCAUUAAACUCUAUAAGGUAGGUGUAGUCAUGCAUUGCUCAAUGAUGGGGAUACAUUCUGAGAAAAGCACUGUUAGGGGAUUUUGUCAUUGUUUGAACAUCAUAGAUUGUACUUAUACAAACCUAGAUGGUGUAGCCUACUACACACCUAGGCUAUAUGAUACUAAUCUUAUGGGACCACUGUAGUAUAUGUCAUCCAUCAUUGACUGAAAUGUUGUCAUAUGGCACGUGUCUGCACUAUUAUCAUCACCCUUAUUUUUCAGAUGAGGAAACUGAGGCACAGGAAGGUUAAGUAACUGUGUGCUGUAACACAGCUAGCAAGCCUUCAUCAUCUGGCUCCUGCCUAUGUCUCAGACCUCAUCUCGUUUCUCCCUAUUGCUCUCUCUUUUUGGUUAUCUUUGUGUCUCUGUACAAGUAUAUUGAGCCUGCAAUACAUUCUUCCCUGCUAUUCACUUGUUUGGUUCCCAGUGGUGGUAAUACUAUAUUAUGAAUGUAUUUGAAAACGGCAGAAUUCUAACAGCCACAAUUCCCUUGACAGUGGGAUUUGAUGAUUCUUAAUCAAAAGGCCUAAGGUGGUUUUUAUUUACCUCUCUGACAUCUGUGCUUCCCUGAGUCUUCCGCAUCUCUGUUGGGAGGACAACUGUUCACCCCUAUUUUAGGCUUCCCUAUUUGUAUAGGGAGGACCACCAUACAUACUUGUCUUCUCUUUUCCCUGUCUCUUUUGGCAGGACUACUAUACAGCCAUGCGUUAAGGCCUAACACCUUGGAGUUUUCCUUGACUCCUCUCUGGCUCCCAUACCCCACAUCCCAUCUCUCAGUGGAUCCUGUCAGUUCUACCUUCAUAACCCGUCCUGAACCUAACUACCUCUCUCCUCCACCUCUACUGGAUUAAUCCUAGCCACUAUCAGCUCUUGCCUGGACCACUGCAAGACCUCCUCUUGGUCUUGCUUCUUCUUUUGCCCCUUCCAGUAUACUCUCCACAGGCAGCCAGAGUGAUCAGGUCACUCCUCUGUGCUCACCUCCAAUGGCUUUUAGUAACAUCCAGAACACAAUCCAGUGUCUAACCAUGGCUUAUGAAGUCCUUCAUGAUCUUGCCCACAUCUAUCUCUUCAUCUUCAUUUCAAUCAUGUUUCCCUUGCUUGCUGCUUUCAGGUCCACUGGAACCCUUCCUUCUGCUCUAGGAGCACUCCAAGAGACCUCUCACCUCGGACACUAUGUUCACUUGCUAUUCCCUUCUGGAACCCUCUUUCCUCAGAUUUGUCCGUGGAUGCUCCUUCUAGUCUUCAUGUCUCUGCUCAAACUUUAUAUCCUCAGAGAGGCCUUUUCUGUCCCAUUGUUCUUUCUCCCCUAACCCUGUUUAUUUUCCUUCAUAGUACCUGACCUUUUUUUUUUUUUUACUACAUAUUUAUUUGCUGUUCUCUGUCUAGAUGUACAGGGUUUCAGCACCUGGAAAAAUACCUGGCACACAUUAAGAGUUUAUUAAAUAUUUGAAAUAAAUGGAUGGAUGAAUUAUUGAAGAAUUGAAAAUGAAUACGGGAGAAGAGACAAUUAGAUACUUUCAAAAAGAUUUCUGCAGAGAGAAGCAAGGGAGCUAGAAGGCAGUCUAUCUAGGGAUGAAUCACUCCCCUUGAGAACAAAAGGAAAUUUAACUACUCAGGGAACAAAGUGAGUCCAAGGUGAGGGAGCCCUCCCUGCCCCUCUUUGUUUUAUCUGCCUGUUGCCUGUCUGUGGGGCCCCCAUCCUGCUGGUGGGAGGCUUAGGGAUGAGUACCUGAUUUGCCACUACCAAGCAGAACUGCUGUGCUUUCCUCUCUUCCUCUGUGCUUGGGGUCUCACUGGGAGUGGGCCAACAGAAGUUUGGUGCACAGGAUGGUAUUCUCUCCCAGGAUGGUUUGGAACGCACUGAGAGCCUAAUUCAUCCACUUGGGAGUGAGGUUCUUAAGGAGAAACUCAGUGCUUUGGCUGAAUAGCAGAGCCUUUUUCAGAGAAACUCUCCAAGGAGUUUCUACACAGGCUUCCUAGGGUAAAGCAGUUAUUUGUAGCAGUUUUAGGACUCUUUAUAUUCCAGUUUCAUCUCUUCUCAUUGAUUUUGCCAUUUGUGGCUUAUAAUGGAAAUGAAAAUAGCUGGUGCAGAUGGAAGAGUUACAAGAUGCUUCUCUGUAUCUUGUAGCUGGGGCACUCUUGGGGAAUCAGCUGAAUGAGUAUUUGCUUCCUAAACUCUUCUCUGGGUUUCACCAAGUUGGGGUCACUUGCAAGGUGAUCAUCAAUUCUGUGGAUUGGUUCAUAUUGUGCGGUGUGAAAACAGAUGAAAGAAUCUGGACCAUCCCCCAACAUAAAAGCUUAGACGAGAACAAAAAUAUAUAAGUGCUGACAAUUUAUACUAAUUUUAAGAAUCCACUUUGCUAAAACAGGAUGAAAAAAUACAUUACAUUGGAAUAACUUCCCUAUACCCAGUUAUUAGGGGACAAUGAAAUGUUCAUUUUACUGUAGCUUGAUUAUGAUGCUGACGUCAUAAUCAAGUCAAGAUAUAUAUGGUAGCAUCUCAUGUAUAUAGAGGUCAGCUUGGAACACAGCUUUGAUCUGGAAAAGUAAGCAUAAAAGGUCUGUGAUGAUAUGAAGCAGGAGACUCAUGUCCCUGCAUGAGAGCCAGGCCCCUUAGUACUUCCUAUUCCUGAUUCCCAUUCCCAUUUAGUAUUCUAGUCCCAACAUUUUCAGUUAUCUUCUUUUCCAAGCCCAGAGCAGCUAAGAAGUAGAAAAUUGGAAGAGGGCAAAGAAGGAUGCAAGUCAAAGUCACACUGAUGGGAGACAGGAAUGACAGCUGACAGCAAGGGAGGUGACAGCAAAGCUUAAGCAGCAAUGCAGGACUGCCAUAGACUUUGUCUGCAAGUCUAGGACAGGCAGAGUGGAAGUCUGUAUAUGGAAGAGGUAUUUUUCAAAGGAAGGGAUGGCUUUCUUUCCUUUUUUCUGAAGAUGGUGCCUCUUCCUGCAUUCAGGGUCCCAGUCCCAUCAGUCAAUUUUGAAUCCUUACUCCAUAAAUCCGUUCUCUUUUCCUUACUCACGUAUUUAACCUUUUCUACUCAACUUAUGAAUAGUUUCACAACUCUUCCAUCUUAAGCAACACUCUCCAACUUUCCAUCCUGAAUCUGUUGCCCUUUCUCCCCACAACACCUCAUUCCUGUCAAGUUUUUGCAAGAGAGGUCCAUACUUCCUGUAUACACUCUCUCUCUUCCUUUGACUUGUCUCCCCUUGCAUCCUUGGUUCUGCCCUAGUAUUCCUCAGAAGUGCCCUCACUUUCAUACUCUGGCCCUAAUCACAAAUAAUCACCUAAUGCCAAACUCGGUGUGUAUUUUAAUGCUCAUUUUAGUUAACCUCUCUUUGGCAUCUUAACCAUUCCUUCUUUUCAGUCUACCUCUAUUUGUUAACACUCAUGACCACUCACCUUGGAAACCGUCUCUCCCGGGUCAAAAAUAGAAAAGAUCAUCUUUGUUCUAAACUGUUUUCUCCACCUGUAUUUCCUUGUCUUGAUGAAUGCCAGCACCAUCUGCUCUGUCACCUGAGACUGAGCCUCAACUCCCUCUACUGACAAGCUAGUCAAGCACAUUCUCCAUGUCUAUAAUUAGGUUUAUGAUUUCCUUUUAUUUCUUUCAUAGAGUUUCUGUUCCCCUGCUUAGAUUGCCCAUCUGUUCUUUAUAUAUUGUCUUCCUAUUUUUUCUCUUGGAGGCCUUUACUUAUUAAUCAUAGUCACUUUCAAUUCCCUGUAUGAUAAUUCCAACAUUUAUGUCACAGCUGAGUCUGGUUCUGAUGAUGGUUUUUUCUCUUCAGACGGUGUUUUUUCUUGCCUUUUGUCAUACCUUGCAAUUUUUUGUUGAAAGUUGGGUAUGUUAUAUUGGGUUAUAGGAACUGAGAGAAAUAGUUGUUUAGUGGGAGGAUUUAUGUUUAUCAGGCUAGGAGUUAGGCUGUGUUUAAUGUUUAUUUUAGCUGUAGGUACCACAGGCUUCAGUUUCCUCUAGUCCUUGUUUGUUCUCUCUUUUGGCUUUGAGGCUUCUCUAUGUACUGCUCCUUGGAGAGAGUCUACAUCUUGUACUUCUUUUAGCUGUAAUCCCCCCUUAUUACACUGGAGUUGGUUGGUGCAGUAGGAGGAUGUGGAGGAGGGGGUGUGUUCUAUGAUCUAACAGGGAGCCUAUGUCUUCAGGGUGUGGCCUUCACAAGGUUUCUGUCCGUCCUCCAGUGCUAUAGCCCUUUCCCCCUUGCCCCAUCUUCCAUUCCUGGGGGCAGAUUUCCCAGUCUAUUUCCUUGAAGCCAAGUCAUCCCCCCACCACCAUGUUUAUGUGUGGCAGGAAGGCUGGAGGACACUGGCGUAGGGAGGAAUUCCUUUCCCCCAGGCCCACUUGUGAAAAAGCAGUGAAGAAGAAAAGGCACUCUCAUUAAGUACUAAAUCAGAGCAGUCAGAGGGAGACCAAUGAGAACUGUAAAUCCGGGAGAAUUUUCACCAAGCUAAAAAUUAAGAACAAAGAAGACCUGGGGAGAGGCAUUUCCUGGGGUGCCAUGCCGUGCUUUCUACUCUGAGGGCGACGGAGGGAGGUUGUCAGAACCAAGGGUCAGGAACAGGGGUUGGGGAGACCCAGGUACAAAAGCAGUCUUUCAAUGGAGG
RNAcentral lists this long non-coding RNA (4980 nucleotides) under Equus caballus (horse). Its description in RNAcentral is "lncRNA (ENSECAG00000058955.1)". The record is from RNAcentral. Lineage: Eukaryota; Metazoa; Chordata; Mammalia; Perissodactyla; Equidae.